Sesamum indicum (sesame) is the source of this 474-nucleotide non-coding RNA. The record is from RefSeq and is a predicted model, not a curated record. NCBI's taxonomy places the organism in Eukaryota, Viridiplantae, Streptophyta, Magnoliopsida, Lamiales, Pedaliaceae.
UCUCACUAUUUUUUUAUUUUUAUUUUUUGGCUUUUUGAUUUGAUAAGAAGUCACACUAGUUUGAUCUCUCCACAAAUAAUCAUAAAACCCUCCUAACAUAAUCAACUUCUUUUCAUAAGGUUCUUCCUUGUAUUUUCGCUUGAAACAAGAAGGGCAGGCAUCCAAAGGGAGGAGAAUAUUCUGGUGAUGUUUCUGGAUUAAUUGGGAUCGGGAGAGUAUUGAAGAGUCGCUGUCUGUUGCCGUUUUCUCAAUGGAUUCCGGAAUAUUCUGAAAAUCCUUUUUGCAGCGCCCUCCUAUCGGAGACGGAUGCCACUGUUUCAUUGAUAAUGGAAGACGAUGCUUGGUCCUGCGUUGUCUUUUUAUCCAGAUCGUGGCUUGUUUUGAGAUUACAUGGGAGAAAGAAAAUUUGGAGCGGAUGCAAGUGCAAGAAAAUCCACAGCUACUGCGGUUAUAACACAUUUAAUGUUAUUGGGA